AGCUCCAAUAGCGUAUAUUAAAGUUGUUGCGGUUAAAAAGCUCGUAGUUGGAUUUCUGUUGAAAACGGCCCGUCCGCAUUUUGUGCGUGUAUGUGGCUUGGUUUCGGCAUCCUUUCAAAGAACGCAACUGUAAUUCAGUUUAUGGGGCGGUACUUUGGAACUUUUACUUUGAGGAAAUUAGAGUGUUCACGGCAGGCAAUCGCCUUGAAUAUAUUAGCAUGGAAUAAUACUAUAGGAUCUUGGGUCUAUUUUGUUGGUUUCUAGAACUAAGAUAAUGAUUAAU
This 283-nucleotide ribosomal RNA is filed under the name uncultured eukaryote. Its description in RNAcentral is "partial small subunit ribosomal RNA". It matches the Rfam family "Eukaryotic small subunit ribosomal RNA", at positions 587 to 873 of the family's 1831-position model. The record is from RNAcentral.